Molecule: long non-coding RNA, 320 nt
Filed under: Selaginella moellendorffii
Lineage: Eukaryota; Viridiplantae; Streptophyta; Lycopodiopsida; Selaginellales; Selaginellaceae
Description: long non-coding RNA (SMOE_LNC000455)
Source: RNAcentral
AGCCGAUCUAAAUAAGAAUUGAGAGCCACAUUGACCAUGGUGGAGCCGUGGGUGAAGUGGAGGUUGUUGAUUCUCGCUGCUCGCUCAUCAAUAUGGCUGGAAAUGAAGGCAUGCUUCUUCGUGCAUGUUCACACUACCACACUCAAUCUAAUUGUAAGAGGAGAAUUUUCUAUUGAUUUCGAAAUCUUUAUCUCGGUAGGGAAGAUGAAGCUAUGGAAGUAGGAGACUAGAGUGCUGGCCGUGUGAAUGCUCUGCUGGAGUAAUAGCUGUUGUUGAAGGUGUCUGGAUGGGGUUGAGGGAUGCCACAUCCAGUGACCAAG